This 253-nucleotide ribosomal RNA is filed under the name uncultured bacterium. Its description in RNAcentral is "partial 16S ribosomal RNA". It matches the Rfam family "Bacterial small subunit ribosomal RNA", at positions 524 to 776 of the family's 1533-position model. The record is from RNAcentral.
UACGUAGGGCGCAAGCGUUAUCCGGAAUUAUUGGGCGUAAAGAGCUCGUAGGCGGUUUGUCGCGUCUGCCGUGAAAGUCCGGGGCUCAACUCCGGAUCUGCGGUGGGUACGGGCAGACUAGAGUGAUGUAGGGGAGAACGGAAUUCCUGGUGUAGCGGUGAAAUGCGCAGAUAUCAGGAGGAACACCGGUGGCGAAGGCGGUUCUCUGGGCCUGUACUGACGCUGAGGAACGAAAGCGUGGGGAGCGAACAGG